Molecule: ribosomal RNA, 508 nt
Filed under: uncultured bacterium
Lineage: Bacteria
Description: partial 16S ribosomal RNA
Rfam family: Bacterial small subunit ribosomal RNA
Source: RNAcentral
GAUGAACGCUAGCUACAGGCUUAACGCAUGCAAGUCGAGGGGAAACGAUAGAGAAAGCUUGCUUUUUCUAGGCGUCGACCGGCGCACGGGUGAGUAACGCGUAUCCAACCUGCCCACCACUUGGGGAUAACCUUGCGAAAGUAAGACUAAUACCCAAUGACAUCUCUAGAAGACAUCUGAAGGAGAUUAAAGAUUUAUCGGUGAUGGAUGGGGAUGCGUCUGAUUAGCUUGUUGGCGGGGUAACGGCCCACCAAGGCGACGAUCAGUAGGGGUUCUGAGAGGAAGGUCCCCCACAUUGGAACUGAGACACGGUCCAAACUCCUACGGGAGGCAGCAGUGAGGAAUAUUGGUCAAUGGGCGAGAGCCUGAACCAGCCAAGUAGCGUGCAGGAUGACGGCCCUAUGGGUUGUAAACUGCUUUUAUAAGGGAAUAAAGUGAGCCUCGUGAGGCUUUUUGCAUGUACCUUAUGAAUAAGGACCGGCUAAUUCCGUGCCAGCAGCCGCCGUAA